RNAcentral lists this unclassified non-coding RNA (254 nucleotides) under Hevea brasiliensis (rubber tree). Lineage: Eukaryota; Viridiplantae; Streptophyta; Magnoliopsida; Malpighiales; Euphorbiaceae. The record is from RNAcentral.
GCUUCCUUGACUUCAGAAGCUGAAAAAUGGCAAAAGAGAAAGAAGAACUGAAGACGUUUAAGGAUUUGGGGAUAUGCGAACAAUUGUUGGAAGCGUGUGACAGUUUGGGAUGGAAAAACCCUACGAAGAUACAGGUCGAAGCAAUUCCUCAUGCUCUCGAAGGCAAAGACUUGAUCGGUCUUGCGCAAACGGGUUCGGGUAAAACAGGAGCUUUUGCUCUUCCCAUAUUACAAUCGCUUCUUGAAGCUUCCGAG